This 332-nucleotide ribosomal RNA is filed under the name uncultured bacterium. RNAcentral's name for it is "bacterial SSU rRNA". It matches the Rfam family "Bacterial small subunit ribosomal RNA", at positions 28 to 334 of the family's 1533-position model. The record is from RNAcentral.
GAUGAACGCUGGCGGCGUGCUUAACACAUGCAAGUCGAACGAAGCAUUUACUUACGAUCCCUUCGGGGUGACGAGUAUCUGACUUAGUGGCGGACGGGUGAGUAACGCGUGGGUAACCUGCCUUGUACUGGGGGACAACAGUUGGAAACGACUGCUAAUACCGCAUAGGACAUAGGAUCACAUGAUCCAGUGAGGAAAGGUGGCGCAAGCUAUCGCUAAGAGAUGGACCCGCGGUGCAUUAGCUAGUUGGUAGGGUAAAGGCCUACCAAGGCGAUGAUGCAUAGCCGACCUGAGAGGGUGAUCGGCCACAUUGGGACUGAGACACGGCCCAA